GCUUCGGAUAUAGUUUUCGAUUUAAACGAGAAAAUACGCAUUAAUAUAUUAAUGUUUUAUCUGAUGUAUUAUUAACUAAAAAUACCAACGUAUUAAAUUGUUGAUUGUUCUAACUAAAAAGUCAAAGAAUUUGAAUUCAAAAAGAUACGGACAUACUUCGCACGACGGGCGGACCACUGUUGCAGGUGAGAUAUUAGAAAGGUAAAAUAAAGAGGGGAAUUUAAUGUAUAUACGUAACGAUUAAUUCUUGCUAAAGAAAAACGGUUCUGAGCGGAGCUCGGUUAUGCAUGUUUUUAAAGGCCGUAAUAUACUUUACGAUUUGAAAAAAAAAAA
Non-coding RNA from Cinara cedri, 333 nucleotides. Lineage: Eukaryota; Metazoa; Arthropoda; Insecta; Hemiptera; Aphididae. The record is from the annotation of a GenBank genome assembly.